CAUGCAAGUCGAGGGGCAGCAUGAUUGAAGCUUGCUUCAAUUGAUGGCGACCGGCGCACGGGUGAGUAACGCGUAUCCAACCUUCCGUACACUCAGGGAUAGCCUUUCGAAAGAAAGAUUAAUACCUGAUGGUAUGAUGAGAUUGCAUGAUAUCAUCAUUAAAGAUUCAUCGGUGUACGAUGGGGAUGCGUUCCAUUAGGUAGUAGGCGGGGUAACGGCCCACCUAGCCUACGAUGGAUAGGGGUUCUGAGAGGAAGGUCCCCCACAUUGGAACUGAGACACGGUCCAAACUCCUACGGGAGGCAGCAGUGAGGAAUAUUGGUCAAUGGACGAGAGUCUGAACCAGCCAAGUAGCGUGAAGGAUGAAGGUCCUACGGAUUGUAAACUUCUUUUAUAAGGGAAUAAAACCUCCCACGUGUGGGAGCUUGUAUGUACCUUAUGAAUAAGCAUCGGCUAACUCCGUGCCAGCAGCCGCGGUAAUACGGAGGAUGCGAGCGUUAUCCGGAUUUAUUGGGUUUAAAGGGAGCGCAGACGGGUCGUUAAGUCAGCUGUGAA
Molecule: ribosomal RNA, 555 nt
Filed under: uncultured bacterium
Lineage: Bacteria
Description: bacterial SSU rRNA
Rfam family: Bacterial small subunit ribosomal RNA
Source: RNAcentral